RNAcentral lists this ribosomal RNA (1519 nucleotides) under Salmonella enterica. RNAcentral's name for it is "bacterial SSU rRNA". It matches the Rfam family "Bacterial small subunit ribosomal RNA". RNAcentral also lists the same sequence under 2 other names. The record is from RNAcentral. Lineage: Bacteria; Pseudomonadati; Pseudomonadota; Gammaproteobacteria; Enterobacterales; Enterobacteriaceae.
GAAGAGUUUGAUCAUGGCUCAGAUUGAACGCUGGCGGCAGGCCUAACACAUGCAAGUCGAACGGUAACAGGAAGCAGCUUGCUGCUUUGCUGACGAGUGGCGGACGGGUGAGUAAUGUCUGGGAAACUGCCUGAUGGAGGGGGAUAACUACUGGAAACGGUGGCUAAUACCGCAUAACGUCGCAAGACCAAAGAGGGGGACCUUCGGGCCUCUUGCCAUCAGAUGUGCCCAGAUGGGAUUAGCUUGUUGGUGAGGUAACGGCUCACCAAGGCGACGAUCCCUAGCUGGUCUGAGAGGAUGACCAGCCACACUGGAACUGAGACACGGUCCAGACUCCUACGGGAGGCAGCAGUGGGGAAUAUUGCACAAUGGGCGCAAGCCUGAUGCAGCCAUGCCGCGUGUAUGAAGAAGGCCUUCGGGUUGUAAAGUACUUUCAGCGGGGAGGAAGGUGUUGUGGUUAAUAACCGCAGCAAUUGACGUUACCCGCAGAAGAAGCACCGGCUAACUCCGUGCCAGCAGCCGCGGUAAUACGGAGGGUGCAAGCGUUAAUCGGAAUUACUGGGCGUAAAGCGCACGCAGGCGGUCUGUCAAGUCGGAUGUGAAAUCCCCGGGCUCAACCUGGGAACUGCAUUCGAAACUGGCAGGCUUGAGUCUUGUAGAGGGGGGUAGAAUUCCAGGUGUAGCGGUGAAAUGCGUAGAGAUCUGGAGGAAUACCGGUGGCGAAGGCGGCCCCCUGGACAAAGACUGACGCUCAGGUGCGAAAGCGUGGGGAGCAAACAGGAUUAGAUACCCUGGUAGUCCACGCCGUAAACGAUGUCUACUUGGAGGUUGUGCCCUUGAGGCGUGGCUUCCGGAGCUAACGCGUUAAGUAGACCGCCUGGGGAGUACGGCCGCAAGGUUAAAACUCAAAUGAAUUGACGGGGGCCCGCACAAGCGGUGGAGCAUGUGGUUUAAUUCGAUGCAACGCGAAGAACCUUACCUGGUCUUGACAUCCACAGAACAUUCCAGAGAUGGAUUGGUGCCUUCGGGAACUGUGAGACAGGUGCUGCAUGGCUGUCGUCAGCUCGUGUUGUGAAAUGUUGGGUUAAGUCCCGCAACGAGCGCAACCCUUAUCCUUUGUUGCCAGCGGUCCGGCCGGGAACUCAAAGGAGACUGCCAGUGAUAAACUGGAGGAAGGUGGGGAUGACGUCAAGUCAUCAUGGCCCUUACGACCAGGGCUACACACGUGCUACAAUGGCGCAUACAAAGAGAAGCGACCUCGCGAGAGCAAGCGGACCUCAUAAAGUGCGUCGUAGUCCGGAUUGGAGUCUGCAACUCGACUCCAUGAAGUCGGAAUCGCUAGUAAUCGUGGAUCAGAAUGCCACGGUGAAUACGUUCCCGGGCCUUGUACACACCGCCCGUCACACCAUGGGAGUGGGUUGCAAAAGAAGUAGGUAGCUUAACCUUCGGGAGGGCGCUUACCACUUUGUGAUUCAUGACUGGGGUGAAGUCGUAACAAGGUAACCGUAGGGGAACCUGC